AGUGAACGCUGGCGGUAGACCUAACACAUGCAAGUCGAACGGCAGCACAGUAAGAGCUUGCUCUUACGGGUGGCGAGUGGCGGACGGGUGAGGAAUACAUCGGAAUCUACUUUUUCGUGGGGGAUAACGUAGGGAAACUUACGCUAAUACCGCAUACGACCUACGGGUGAAAGCAGGGGAUCUUCGGACCUUGCGCGAUUGAAUGAGCCGAUGUCGGAUUAGCUAGUUGGCGGGGUAAAGGCCCACCAAGGCGACGAUCCGUAGCUGGUCUGAGAGGAUGAUCAGCCACACUGGAACUGAGACACGGUCCAGACUCCUACGGGAGGCAGCAGUGGGGAAUAUUGGGCAAAGGGCGCAAGCCUGAUCCAGCCAUACCGCGUGGGUGAAGAAGGCCUUCGGGUUGUAAAGCCCUUUUGUUGGGAAAGAAAAGCAGCAGGUUAAUACCCCGCUGUUCUGACGGUACCCAAAGAAUAAGCACCGGCUAACUUCGUG
Molecule: ribosomal RNA, 492 nt
Filed under: uncultured bacterium
Lineage: Bacteria
Description: partial 16S ribosomal RNA
Rfam family: Bacterial small subunit ribosomal RNA
Source: RNAcentral